UACGUAGGGUGCGAGCGUUAAUCGGAAUUACUGGGCGUAAAGCGUGCGCAGGCGGUUCGUUAAGUCAGUUGUGAAAGCCCCGGGCUCAACCUGGGAACUGCAUUUGAAACUGGCGGGCUUGAGUGUGGCAGAGGGGGGUGGAAUUCCGCGUGUAGCAGUGAAAUGCGUAGAGAUGCGGAGGAACACCGAUGGCGAAGGCAGCCCCCUGGGCCAACACUGACGCUCAGGCACGAAAGCGUGGGGAGCAAACAGG
This 253-nucleotide ribosomal RNA is filed under the name uncultured bacterium. RNAcentral describes it as "partial 16S ribosomal RNA". It matches the Rfam family "Bacterial small subunit ribosomal RNA", at positions 524 to 776 of the family's 1533-position model. The record is from RNAcentral.